This 414-nucleotide RNase P RNA is filed under the name Rhodoferax sp. RNAcentral's name for it is "RNase P RNA component class A". It matches the Rfam family "Bacterial RNase P class A". Rfam says of the family: Ribonuclease P (RNase P) is a ubiquitous endoribonuclease, found in archaea, bacteria and eukarya as well as chloroplasts and mitochondria. Its best characterised activity is the generation of mature 5'-ends of tRNAs by cleaving the 5'-leader elements of precursor-tRNAs. Lineage: Bacteria; Pseudomonadati; Pseudomonadota; Betaproteobacteria; Burkholderiales; Comamonadaceae. The record is from RNAcentral.
GAAGCCCACCAGACUGUCGCUGGUGCAAGCCCCUCGGGGCCGACGCCUCGGCGUCGGGUGGAAACACCGCACUGGAGGAACGUCCGGACUGCACAGGGCAGCGUAGCAGCUAACGGCUGUCCACUGAACCCCAUGUACGCAAGUGCAUGGCAUAAGGUGAGGAUCAGAGCAACAGAGACGAGUCGCCGGAUGGGGCAACCCAUGCGGCGGGUGAAACGGGCAAUCUCUACGCGCAGCAAUACCAAAUAGGCACAUGUUGGGACGCGCAGUUCGCUGCGCCCCCUACCCGGGGCCCCCGGGGUGUGUGCGGGUAGGUAGCACCGAGCCGUCGGGUGACCGGCGGCCCAGAUUAAUGACAGUCACGCCGGGGGCAACCCCGGUGCACAGAAUCCGGCUUAUCGGUGGGCUUCACAC